UACAGCUGACCCUGCAGAUCAUCAGAGUUCAAAGGUUAGCUCCAGGUCCAUUUAGUCUACAGACAUGUAGCUGUAACCUACGCUUCUAGAGGAGAGCUGAAGGAAGCGAAUGGGCUGAGGAUCCUGAAACAGCUGCAACUCCUCAAUGAUUCGCCCUCCAUCAUUAUCAGACCACACCACCUUCUGCAGCCAACCA
Long non-coding RNA from Poecilia latipinna (sailfin molly), 196 nucleotides. RefSeq lists it as uncharacterized. The transcript has 2 exons. Lineage: Eukaryota; Metazoa; Chordata; Actinopteri; Cyprinodontiformes; Poeciliidae. The record is from RefSeq and is a predicted model, not a curated record.